Molecule: ribosomal RNA, 692 nt
Filed under: uncultured Arthrobacter sp.
Lineage: Bacteria; Bacillati; Actinomycetota; Actinomycetes; Micrococcales; Micrococcaceae
Description: bacterial SSU rRNA
Rfam family: Bacterial small subunit ribosomal RNA
Source: RNAcentral
AAGCCUGGGAAACUGGGUCUAAUACCGGAUAUGACUCCUCAUCGCAUGGUGGGGGGUGGAAAGCUUUAUUGUGGUUUUGGAUGGACUCGCGGCCUAUCAGCUUGUUGGUGAGGUAAUGGCUUACCAAGGCGACGACGGGUAGCCGGCCUGAGAGGGUGACCGGCCACACUGGGACUGAGACACGGCCCAGACUCCUACGGGAGGCAGCAGUGGGGAAUAUUGCACAAUGGGCGCAAGCCUGAUGCAGCGACGCCGCGUGAGGGAUGACGGCCUUCGGGUUGUAAACCUCUUUCAGUAGGGAAGAAGCGAAAGUGACGGUACCUGCAGAAGAAGCGCCGGCUAACUACGUGCCAGCAGCCGCGGUAAUACGUAGGGCGCAAGCGUUAUCCGGAAUUAUUGGGCGUAAAGAGCUCGUAGGCGGUUUGUCGCGUCUGCCGUGAAAGUCCGGGGCUCAACUCCGGAUCUGCGGUGGGUACGGGCAGACUAGAGUGAUGUAGGGGAGACUGGAAUUCCUGGUGUAGCGGUGAAAUGCGCAGAUAUCAGGAGGAACACCGAUGGCGAAGGCAGGUCUCUGGGCAUUAACUGACGCUGAGGAGCGAAAGCAUGGGGAGCGAACAGGAUUAGAUACCCUGGUAGUCCAUGCCGUAAACGUUGGGCACUAGGUGUGGGGGACAUUCCACGUUUUCCGCGCC